GUUGGGCACUAGGUGUGGGGGACAUUCCACGUUCUCCGCGCCGUAGCUAACGCAUUAAGUGCCCCGCCUGGGGAGUACGGCCGCAAGGCUAAAACUCAAAGGAAUUGACGGGGGCCCGCACAAGCGGCGGAGCAUGCGGAUUAAUUCGAUGCAACGCGAAGAACCUUACCAAGGCUUGACAUUCACCGGACCGCACUGGAGACAGUGCUUCCCUUCGGGGUCGGUGGACAGGUGGUGCAUGGUUGUCGUCAGCUCGUGUCGUGAGAUGUUGGGUUAAGUCCCGCAACGAGCGCAACCCUCGUUCUAUGUUGCCAGCACGUGAUGGUGGGGACUCAUAGGAGACUGCCGGGGUCAACUCGGAGGAAGGUGGGGAUGACGUCAAAUCAUCAUGCCCCUUAUGUCUUGGGCUUCACGCAUGCUACAAUGGCCGGUACAAAGGGUUGCGAUACUGUGAGGUGGAGCUAAUCCCAAAAAGCCGGUCUCAGUUCGGAUUGAGGUCUGCAACUCGACCUCAUGAAGUCGGAGUCGCUAGUAAUCGCAGAUCAGCAACGCUGCGGUGAAUACGUUCCCGGGCCUUGUACACACCGCCCGUCAAGUCACGAAAGUUGGUAACACCCGAAGCCGGUGGCCUAACCCCUUUGUGGGAGGGAGCCGUCGAAGGUGGGACUGGCGAUUGGGACUAAGUCGUAACAAGGUAGCCGUACCGGAAGGUGCGGCUGGAUCACCUCCUUUCUAAGGAG
This 740-nucleotide ribosomal RNA is filed under the name Kocuria sp. SM24M-10. Its description in RNAcentral is "bacterial SSU rRNA". It matches the Rfam family "Bacterial small subunit ribosomal RNA", at positions 808 to 1533 of the family's 1533-position model. The record is from RNAcentral. Lineage: Bacteria; Bacillati; Actinomycetota; Actinomycetes; Micrococcales; Micrococcaceae.